This 52-nucleotide non-coding RNA is filed under the name Trichobilharzia regenti. Lineage: Eukaryota; Metazoa; Platyhelminthes; Trematoda; Strigeidida; Schistosomatidae. The record is from RNAcentral.
AUUCAGCUUAGAGACGAGUCCCAAAUAGGACGAAAUGCGCAUCAGGCUGGAU